UGAAAGGGUUAAAACCACGUGAUAACGUCAAUGACAUAAAUUUGAAGCGCCAAGCGCUUGGUCCUUAAUCUUCAGAAAUAUAUCAAGGACUAAAUAUGGAGAUAGAUUUUGAAACAACCUUGUUGUGUGAGGAAAUUGAUGAUCCAAAUAUAAAAGCUGCUGUGCAAGAAGUAAUUGAUACAAGAUCAACUUUACCUUUAACCAAACGUAUAGUACAUGAUACAAUACAGAUUAGACGUAUGGACAGAGGACUUCCAGAAUAUAUAGUUCAAACAACGAAAAAACAAGAACAAGGGUUAACCGAAGAAGAAAAAGAGAAGAGAAAACGUAAGAAGGAAUCGAACAAAAAAGCGGCAAAAAAAUAUCGCCAAAGACAAAAAGAACGCCAUCAAGAUCUUCUUUGGAAGAUAAAUGAUCUGGAGGAGCAAAAUAAAAACAUCGCUAGUGCUUUAGCUCAAGAACGAAUGGAGAGAGCUGACUACCAUAUUUGCCGCAACUGUUGCAACCACACCACAUACUGUAAAAAUGAUAUGUGUAAGGUUUUUAGUGAAGAAUAAUUUAUGUAAAUAUAGUGUAAGGUUUUUAAGUAAAGAAUAAUAUAUAAAUAUAGUUGUAAGGUUUUUAAGCGAAUAAUAAUAUACAUAUAUAAUUGGGUUUAAAAUAAGGGUUAAAGUCUCUAUGUUAUUGUUUUUACUGUGAUUAACGUUCGACGUUAUAAAACUUGUUUAUAUAUAAUACUAUUAUUUAUUACUGGCCAUAGUGACAUUAAAGAAUAAACUACGAUUUUGUGAUUAGAAAAUGUAACAUUCAUAUUCUGUCGGGUUUUGUCAUUCCAUAUUCGAAUUUAAUAGACUAAUUUACCAAAGAGCUGAAGAAAUACAAAAUUUAUUAAAUCUAUAUGUUUUGUCCUUUAAUUCUGAUUGAAAAUCAAUCAGAUCAAUGUCGGAGAAUUCUGUCAAAAAAUUAUAUAUUUGUCAUUUAAAAGACACAAAAUGUACUAAUAUAAGAAUAUUUUUCUUAUUCCAAAUUUUUACAGUGCUAUAAAUGUCAACAUACUUUUAAUGUGUUACGUAAAUUUGUGUUUCCUACAUUUUUUUAAAAAAAAGAAGAAAGAAGAUAAAUAAUGUUUUCAAAACUAGCUUUUAUUGAUCAAAUAAAA
This is a long non-coding RNA of Patella vulgata (common limpet), 1159 nucleotides long. RefSeq lists it as uncharacterized. NCBI's taxonomy places the organism in Eukaryota, Metazoa, Mollusca, Gastropoda, Patellidae. The record is from RefSeq and is a predicted model, not a curated record. The transcript has 4 exons.